GCACGUCCAAUUAAAGGGGUACUAGCUGUCAAAUUCGUGUCCCCGAUUUGACUCAAAGUCUCGUAUUGGAUUUAUAACAAUGUAAAACAUUCAUCCAAAAUAACCAUUAACAGAACACGAGCUUGAUAACAUGUUGCUUCGUUUCGUGGGUAAUUUAGUCCAAACGCCAUAUAAUUGCCUAUCGAGAUGACCACGAAAACAACCGAUGGUCACAUAACACGAUAAACAUAAACAUAAAUAUAAAUCGAUAAAUGGAUAUUAAUGGAUUUCUCUAUUCUGUUUGAUUUCAAUGUUGAUGUAAAAAAGCAAAAUUUUGAUUUUAUCUGCACAUUUCACUGUCAAUGUUGAAAUUCUUUCUCUUUUAAUAGCCCAACACGCAUCAAUCAUGCACAAUCCAUCUCUAGCUUAGGGGUUAAAUUGAUGUUCACACGAAUACGGAUGCAAUGAGGUCGAAUUAUUCACUUGCGAGUGAAUGUAAUUCAUCAUCGAUGUUAAUAGCUUAUUUUGACAAAAU
RNAcentral lists this long non-coding RNA (514 nucleotides) under Mytilus galloprovincialis (Mediterranean mussel). Lineage: Eukaryota; Metazoa; Mollusca; Bivalvia; Mytilida; Mytilidae. The record is from RNAcentral.